Molecule: long non-coding RNA, 1001 nt
Organism: Amphiprion ocellaris (clown anemonefish)
Lineage: Eukaryota; Metazoa; Chordata; Actinopteri; Pomacentridae
Source: Ensembl
UGAAAAACAAACGGCUAAAACAGUAUAUCAGUCUUCAUUUGUCCUCUCUGUUACAAAACAGGCAUCCAGCCUUUGUUUUCUGCUCCAGCAUAUAUAUAAUAAUGCCUUAGUCUGGGGUAUAUAGCUCCUCAAAGCACCUCUCCACCUUGACUAACUUUUCCAAGCGCUCAUUAGCGGACUGGCUGAAGUUUGGAGGGUAUGAAGCGGGCUGGCAGAUUACCCCCUGUAAAGUAGCACACCUCAGUGGCUGGUCGGUGCAAGAAGUGCCAAACAACAAAGUGUUUGUUUGCAUAAUAUUAGCGCUGCACGCUCGCGCACAGUGGCGGGGGCCUGACUGCAGGACUGACUGGAGGCUUCCCAUGAACACAGGUGGAGCAGGGCAAGCAUCACUGGGACCAAUUAGAGCAGAGCACAGGUUGGAGACGGGGCUCACUUUGAUCAGUGGAGUCGAGACACCAAGACACUGCAAGCAAGACGCUUUCCAGAUCUGGUACGAGGAUGCAAAGAGACGAAUCAGCAGGAAAGCAUGAGACCAGACUUUAAAGGAUUCCUCUACACAGACCUCCAGGAUGUAAAUUAGGCCUGUUUCAGCCAAGAGACAGGUUUAAACCCCCAGCCACUAUCAGGCCUACAAGGGACCAAAUGUCUCUAAAUACACAUUCGGACUGAUUCCUGAGCCACUGAAGGGGGCCUCAGGAACCUGGAUGACAACUUCAAAGACAUUCCACUCACUGACAAAGGAACUCUGGACUCAAAUCAGAACCAACAAAGACAAUCAUCCCACAAUUCUGGACUAAACUCCUUUUUAUGUACAUCCAUUUCACAGAACAAAUGAACUUGUCAAUAACUUCAUGGUCAAUCUACAUCUUUCCUUGCCUUUUAUCUUUUAUUCCUCCUGAUUAGUAUCAAUAUGAUGAUUCGUAACAUGUCUGUCAUUCACAUCAUAUCUGGUAUCGUUCUCAUCCCGUCUGUCAGUAAUGCACCUAGAUAAAUCAUGUUCA